This is a non-coding RNA of Triticum aestivum (bread wheat), 116 nucleotides long. Lineage: Eukaryota; Viridiplantae; Streptophyta; Magnoliopsida; Poales; Poaceae. The record is from Rfam.
UUCAUACUCCCUCCAUCCCGAAUUACUUGUCGCAGAAAUGGAUGUAUCUAGAACUAAAAAUACGCCUAGAUACAUCCAUUUCUGCGACAGGUAAUUCGGGACGGAUGGAGCAGUAU